Long non-coding RNA from Myiozetetes cayanensis, 476 nucleotides. RefSeq lists it as uncharacterized. Lineage: Eukaryota; Metazoa; Chordata; Aves; Passeriformes; Tyrannidae. The record is from RefSeq and is a predicted model, not a curated record. The transcript has 4 exons.
CAGAGAAAUUGCAUUAUUUGCAGAGGCUCUGACAAUUCUUUUGUUUUUUUACUUCUCAGAUACUUCCUGGAGAACUGUCAGAAUUGUCACGUGCUGGUAUUUUGCCCUCUGGCACGGGAAGAAACAGUGCACAUAGCAACUUGAGUUGACCUCAUUUAUCCUAUUCAAAAAUCUUCCUCUUUCAGAUGAACAACAAAGCCAGUAACCAAAAUAAAUAAAAAUCCGCUUUUCUUGUGAGCUCUAAUUAGUUACUGUACAAUACCAUCAGCAGAUCUUGGGAGGAGGAAAGUAGAUGAUACAUUUUCCUGAAGAAUAUUUAUUUUAUCAGACUGAUUGUUUUUCAUUUAAGUCAAGCAGACGUGUUUGGUGUCACAUCCCUUCAACACGCAGACAGCUCGGGUUCUUUGCCUUGGGUGCCUCUUGCUGGCAGGACUGACUGCAUUGGCCUGAAAGUAUCUGCUUCUUCUGAUGUCCAG